UUGAAAGGGAAACGAUUGAAGUCAGUCGUACCAGCGGGAAAUCAACCUUUCGAGUGGGGGUUUUGGAGUUUUUUGAAGAGUGUCAAAACCUUUGAGAUUUCAAAAUAUUCGCUCUUUUGGUGUACUUUCUCGUGGGUAGGUUAACAUCGAUUUUGAUCAUCAUAAAAAGAUUGGAGGAAUGUAGCUUCGAUCUUGUAUUGAAGUGUUAUAGCCUUUGGUAAAUGUGAUGAUUAGGAUCGAGGAUUGCAACGAAUACCCUUUUGGGCUAUCCGCCUGAUCUCUGAUACGUGGCCUUGGUAUCGAAAGCGUGCUUAUGGUAUUAAGGUAUUACGGUCAAAAGGUUAGAACNGAUUACAUUCGUUAAGGAUGUUGACGUA
Molecule: ribosomal RNA, 377 nt
Filed under: uncultured Glomeromycotina
Lineage: Eukaryota; Fungi; Glomeromycota
Description: LSU rRNA
Source: RNAcentral